Meleagris gallopavo (turkey) is the source of this 5467-nucleotide non-coding RNA. The record is from RefSeq and is a predicted model, not a curated record. NCBI's taxonomy places the organism in Eukaryota, Metazoa, Chordata, Aves, Galliformes, Phasianidae.
UCUGUCUGGAAGCUGUACCGUCAUUUCGAAACGUUUUCUCCCGGGUUUCACGGAACGGAAUAUCCCGAGGCGGAAGGGACCCGCAGAGAUCACCGAGCCCAACCCCUGGCCCCACACGGACCACCUAAAAUUCAAACCCUGUAUCUUUUAGCAAUGUCCAAACGUUCCUUGAACUCCUUUGCGGUACCCACCGCCCUCUGGUCUGGUGAGGAGCCUUUCCCUAACUCCCAACCUGUCCCUCCCCGGACAGCUCCAUGCCAGGGAGAUGAGAAAGUUGAUGAGACAAAGAGGGGGAGAAAUCAUACCAAUUGCCAUCACAAUCAAAGUAAACUUGACUUAGUGAAAGCUUUAGAGCUUUUUUAUGUAAAAUAGAGGAUGUGUCUUCUGCUGUAGGAGCAGAAUAUAAGAGGAGAUGCCCUGGAAAAGGAGCAGGGAAAUGUUCUUGCCUGAGCUCAGGGCGCUCAGGCCAGCAGAUCCACAGGCCAGAAGUGGCUGUUAAGGCAAGGGGUGACAGAUGUCCUUUUGGUGGUGGCUCUGUCACCAAAACUUGUGCUCAGCAGGUUUGUUGCCUGCCCUGAGCUUUGAGUGCUACAGCCAUCUGCGUGCACCAGCGAUACUGACAGCAACAUCAGUCUCUGUGGUCUUUUGGUAAGCAGGUUCCCCUUCUGUACAUCUGCUUAAAAAUCCAUUGUCACUUUUAGACAGAAGAAAUAAUAGUAUUUGAUGCCUUUUUUGUGAAAAGCUGAAACACCACCAUCUACAUAAAAACUAAAAGUACAUAACCAGAAAGUUGCUGCCUCACAUCAAUAGAUUUUCUGUCAUAACAGAGGACUUCAUAGUCCUCGUGUAUAGAGACCACUUCACUAUGCUGAGAAACAGCUGGCUCUGCAAUGGAAAUACCCCAUCAUUGAUGUCAGUACCGUUUCAAAAGGUUUUUAAAUGCAAGAGGAGAAAGUAACUCCUGCAUUUGCUGUAAUGUAAGUUAGAGCUAGGAUUUUCCACACUAUCAUGACCAAUAUUCUUGCCUUGUGAAAUCAUCAGUCCCACAAGAAGUCAGGGUUUUAUAUGGCUACAGCAGAUUGGGACAUGCCUUAGGUUUUAUGUCCAAACCUCCAGGCUGUUCCCUGACACCAAAACACCAGGAUAUUUCUUCCAGACCAAUUUAAUAUGACUUAUGAGCACAUGACUUCUUCAGAAAUUGCAAAUGCCCAGCACAGUUCUUCAUUCUCCAUUCAUAUGCCAGGCAGACUCAACCUUCUUGGCCUGUGAGAUUUGAUACGAUCAUAGCCUGAAGAGUAGUUUAAUGUAAGAUUGCAAUAACACUGUAGUCACUACCAAACAUUAUUAUACUUACUUUAAUUUCAACAAACUGCCGUAAUUAGUGACUUCCCUCCUGGGGAUGUUAUGAAAUACACCUAAUUACACUGUAAUACGGAGCUUUCUGAUCCCCAGCUAGCAGUUUCUAAGUAACUGAAAAAUAAGACAUUUUCAUUGUAGAGGUUACGUCAUAAAAGAUUUGGUGCAACAGCUUGGCAUACCUAUGCCUUUUGUGCUGGCUUUUGUCCCUGCACAGCUUUGCAGUGCAGAGAUCCCAACUUCCUCCUCUUCUUUUUUCUGACACUCCCAUGCGUCACCUCAAGGUGCAGGGAGGGAGCUUAUUCUCAGCAAACACUGGAACCUGGAAGCUUGCCCAGGCCCUAAACAGGUAGUGAAGGAAGCAAAAGCUCACAGCAUGCACAUCUGCACUCCCCAUAACACCGGGCAGAGUCUGGCUCUCUGUGCUGCUGGCAGCUCACCGCAAUGCGCAUAGACAAACUUGCACAAUCUCAUUGUGUUCUGUGUGCAUGUCUUAAAGCUCUUGGAAUUGUAUCAUUGUGAAAAAUCUGCAGAAUGUCUUGUUUAAAACUGGUUUUUAAUCCUGCUGGUUAUAGAGAAGUUGAAAACUACCUGAAAACUUCCUAGUUAAGAUUAGAUUCACCCAUACUCAUGUGAAAUUGUGAAUUAAGUGUGAGACAAAUAGCACAUGAUAGUGGCAAUUCCUUAUGUUGUAUUCACCAUAAAGGAAGAGAAGGAUGCUUUACUGCUGGGCUCACUCUCUGAGGCUGAGCUUUGAUGCAUGUUUAUGGCAGAAGCAUUCCCAGAAAAGAUCCCUUACCUCCAGCUGCUUAUCUGAGUCCCCAACCACCUAUACACAUUUGUACAGAUGUGUGGCAAACUGCACUAUGUAAUAGCUGAACGUGAAAAGCAAUCAUUUCAAUCAGACAUCUGUGCAUUUGAGUCUAAACAGACACUUUUUUUUUAAACAGAAGCAGAUGAUAAAUACAAUGAAUAAUCUCAUACAGCAACCGUCACACAUUCUGCGAUCAUGCUGGCCUUUUUUUGGCCCCUUUUGCAGAUUUUCUAAUGCCAGAUACUCUUGCCAGAAUGAAUGCCAACAGAAGUUGGUUUGGACUUGAGACCAAGUUGGACAAAUAAUAUGGCUAAUUUUGCAAAAAAGUGUAUUAGAGUCUAUUUUGCAUUGUUACUGCUGAAUUUGGGCCAACUUCUUCCUUUUUUUUUUUUCCUCUCCAAGAAAUACGUUUGAAAAGCAUCUUUUUUUCCAGCUUCUCUCUACAUAUAGAAUUCAACUCUUGUCAUUGGCAGCUUUGUUCAAUCACAACGCCAUUGAACAACAAGGGCGUGUCCUUUUCAUAGCUGUCUUCAGCUAAGAGUCUGGCAGCCAUGACAUACAUUGCUAACACUGGGGUUGGUGAACCAGGAGCUACAGGCCAGUGUGGCUGUGUCACAGCUUAUUGUGAACUGACCCACUGCAACAAGGAAAAGCAUAAACAAGAAAACUGAACAGUUCAUAUCUGCAAGCGUUUUUUGUUCCAAAAACCUUCUUGGUGUUCCCAACCUCGAAUAAUUUCCUGAAGAGAAGUUGGAUGGAGGCUCUCUCUUCACAAGAUACAUGGAGAAGACAAGGAGCAAUGGAUACCAGUUGCACUGAGAGAGCUAUUCACGCACCGAAGGACUAAACAACAAAUUAUAGAAAACAACAUGCAAAUAAUUAGAAAGUGUCAAGAAAACAGCCAGCUCUCAUGAAUGAAAAAGUGCACAAGAGAAAGGCUUCAGACCCCAAAAUGUGAGUGCAACUAAACUUAAACACACGCGCGCACACACACACAAAAGGCAUAUUCCAUAAAGUGCAGGUGCAGUUGUUGAAGUGCCAGUGCACCUCUCCCUGGUGUGGCAGAGCACUGGGAUACCUUCUGCUGAGGGGCUGCUGGAGACUGCUGACUGCCUGCUCAGCAUGAUUCAGGCUGGACAACAUGAUGGAUGAGGAGGGAAGCCAUGGGAACCGGCCCAGCACCUCAACAGAAUAUUGCUGGGCUGUACUAGUGUGUCCUGCUGAGGCCACACCAGCUACUAACCCAAUGAGGAUAUCCUAUGUGAAAGCAUGGUUCUGUAAUCACAUAGCCAAGUUCAGUUUUCUGCUGCCAUUUGCUUCCCUUUCCACUGUAUCUUUGCAUCAGUUUCCUCUGGCAGCAAUGGUCCUACUUCUCCCUGAUGCCAUAACUCAGGCACUGAGUCACUCUUUGCUUCUUUCUCUCGAGGGACUUUGAACCCUGAAAGGGGAAGUCAGUAAUGACUGCUUCUGUUCUUCCAGGGGAUAAGACCCACAAAAACAGGGAAAUGGAACAUUAUUUUUCUGCUAACAUUAAAAAAAAUGGUUUUCCUCAGCUUAAUGAAUCACUGCAAGAAGAUGCUGGAGGCUUUACUUCCCAGUACUCACUGCUAUUCCUUCUUGCACUAGUGUUGCUGGUUCCUUAUUUCUCUACAUGAAAAUGCAUGGGAAGAUCAAUGACCACGUGUAAUUAGCUUACAACAAAAGUAUUGCUGCAAGAUGUUUGCUCUGCUGAGCAUUUGGAAUUCCUGCUAAAUUAAAAACUUUUCUCAGCCUUAUCCUGGCAGAGGGACAUCUGGGCCAGCACAGGCCUGAGAGUAAGGCAGGACACAUUAGAAUAAAUUACCGUAUAUAUGGUAGUACCUCCAUAAGCAUGCUUUUCCUCACUUUUAUCAGAUUGCUGCAUGACUUUGACAGUGCCUUGGGCUUAAUGCCACUAGAGGUCAUGCAAUGUACUUACUAUCUAAGCUGCUUUUGAAAAAAUGCUCUAAUACUCCACAUUUGCUAGAUGUAUUUGCAGACACUGCUUUGGCCUGCUGGAUGCCCCUGCUUUGCAUGCACGUACCAACCAUGCCACAAUAAAUCACCCUACUUUUGCUAUUGCCCAUUUAUUGUGAAUAGCACAAAACAGGGAAGGAUAAGGAACUAGGAAUAUGCAAAUAAUCUUCACGUGGAAAACAGUUUUUAUAGAAUGAAAUAUGCUAUCCAUUAGAUGUGUUUACAAAAUAAAAACGGAACUAGAAUCCAGUGUCAUAUGAAACCCUCUGUUAACAGCAGCAAAAGUACUGACCUGACUACUAUAAUGCUGAUUCUGUUAACAUACUUGCCUUUGGUUUUUCCUAUCUUUGUGAUACACCUCGAGAGAAUAUUGACUGCAUCUUGAAGCAGCUGACAACUGCUCUCCGUGUUUUGAUUUCAAGCUUUUUGGAGUAUUUCUCCUCCUUGCCUUUGGCCAGCAGCCUAACAAUCAACCAAAUAAACACCCCUUUCAAUAGCAUCCCUAUCCAGCUCCCUCUCAAAUAGGCAUGGUUUUGGGGAGCUGUCGGACUUCACAUUCUGUCAAAACAAGGCCCAAGACCCACUGUAAUUAUUAAUCUGGUAGAUGCAGAGCUGUUGUGAGAGAGAUCAACUGUUGGAGCCAACAUGUUUCCCUAUGGAGCUUCCCAUUGUCACUAAUGAAGACAUUAAAACUUGCUCAGUAGCACUGUCCUCACCAGCCUGUUUGCUUAUUCUUGGGAAAAAGAACCAGCUAUCAGUAUUACCAUUAGCUGAUCUUAUUCAGAACUUCUAUCUGAACCUCUCUCAGUGAGGUGGCCUUAGACUCAGGUUUCCACCAAGCUGUGGGGAAGUGGCCGCCCACAUGGCCUUUCAAAAAAUAUCUCCAGAUUUCCUACACAAUUUGUCAAACACUGUAAAAUGUGAUCAGUAACAGUCAAUCCAAUUGCUCAGUUUUAACAGUAAUCACAAUCUACUACAAAAUUGUUCUUACCUCUUGGAGGUAAGGGCCAUUCUCUUAUAAUUUUGCCAGUCUGGGAAACUCUGGAUAUAAGCAUUGCUACUAUAACUGAUAUUGCAUUCAUAAUUUCACCACUAAUAAUCUCAUCUCAUUUCUUCAUACAUUAAUAAUCUCAUCAAUAAGUAUAAAUAUCUGAAGGGACAGUAUAAAAAAAAAGACAGAGCCAGGGUGCCCAGUACCAGGACAGGAGACCAUGGGCACAAACUGGCACACAGGAGCUCCCUCUGAACACCAGAAGCACUCCUGCGCUGUUGUAUAAUCAGUGGAUAUACAGAUAGUGUAUA